GACGAACGCUGGCGGCGUGCUUAACACAUGCAAGUCGAACGGAAAGGCCCUGCUUUUGUGGGGUGCUCGAGUGGCGAACGGGUGAGUAACACGUGAGUAACCUGCCCUUGACUUUGGGAUAACUUCAGGAAACUGGGGCUAAUACCGGAUAGGAGCUCCUGCUGCAUGGUGGGGGUUGGAAAGUUUCGGCGGUUGGGGAUGGACUCGCGGCGUAUCAGCUAGUUGGUGAGGUAGUGGCUUACCAAGGCUUUGACGGGUAGCCGGCCUGAGAGGGUGACCGGCCACAGUGGAACGGCGACAGGGGCCAGACGCCGACGGGAGGCAGCAGUAGGGAAUCUUACGCAAGGGGCGAAAGCCUGACGGAGAAACGGGGCGUGGGGGAGGAAGGUCUUCGGAUCGUAAAACGCUGUUAUGAGGGAAGAACAAAUGUGUAAGUAACUAUGCACGUCUUGACGGUACCGAAUCAGAAAGCCACGGCUAACUACGUG
This 488-nucleotide ribosomal RNA is filed under the name uncultured bacterium. RNAcentral's name for it is "partial 16S ribosomal RNA". It matches the Rfam family "Bacterial small subunit ribosomal RNA", at positions 28 to 507 of the family's 1533-position model. The record is from RNAcentral.